UGGGGAAUAUUGGGCAAUGGGCGCAAGCCUGACCCAGCAACGCCGCGUGAAGGAAGAAGGCUUUCGGGUUGUAAACUUCUUUUAUUGGGGACGAAUAGAUGACGGUACCCAUUGAAUAAGCUCCGGCUAACUACGUGCCAGCAGCCGCGGUAAUACGUAGGGAGCAAGCGUUAUCCGGAUUUACUGGGUGUAAAGGGCGUGUAGGCGGGAGUGCAAGUCAGAUGUGAAAACUAUGGGCUCAACCCAUAGCCUGCAUUUGAAACUGUACUUCUUGAGUACUGGAGAGGCAGGCGGAAUUCCGUGUGUAGCGGUGAAAUGCGUAGAUAUACGGAGGAACACCAGUGGCGAAGGCGGCCUGCUGGACAGCAACUGACGCUGAGGCGCGAAAGCGUGGGGAGCAAACAGGA
This 407-nucleotide ribosomal RNA is filed under the name uncultured bacterium. RNAcentral's name for it is "bacterial SSU rRNA". It matches the Rfam family "Bacterial small subunit ribosomal RNA", at positions 355 to 777 of the family's 1533-position model. The record is from RNAcentral.